CGGCGGACGGGUGAGUAACACGUGGAUAACCUACCUAUAAGACUGGGAUAGCUUCGGGAAACCGGAGCUAAUACCGGAUAAUAUAUUGAACCGCAUGGUUCAAUAGUGAAAGACGGUUUUGCUGUCACUUAUAGAUGGAUCCGCGCCGCAUUAGCUAGUUGGUAAGGUAACGGCUUACCAAGGCAACGAUGCGUAGCCGACCUGAGAGGGUAAUCGGCCACACUGGAACUGAGACACGGUCCAG
Molecule: ribosomal RNA, 244 nt
Filed under: uncultured Staphylococcus sp.
Lineage: Bacteria; Bacillati; Bacillota; Bacilli; Caryophanales; Staphylococcaceae
Description: partial 16S ribosomal RNA
Rfam family: Bacterial small subunit ribosomal RNA
Source: RNAcentral